Molecule: long non-coding RNA, 1968 nt
Organism: Cucumis melo (muskmelon)
Lineage: Eukaryota; Viridiplantae; Streptophyta; Magnoliopsida; Cucurbitales; Cucurbitaceae
Exons: 3
Source: RefSeq, a predicted model, not a curated record
AGGACUUGAUCUACUUAAUGUGCUAUGAGAGGAGAAACGAACCUUUAAAGACCAAUCUACACACUAAGAGCAUGGUAGUAGAUAAAAUUAAAGAAAAUCUUAGAGAUAGCUAGGCUGAUUAAUAGGUUUAGGUAGGGGAUAUUUGGGCACUUUCUAAACUUCUCCAUAACAAACCAAUCCUCCCAACUAUUGUUGUACCUUAUUCAGCGAAUGUGCAAACCCAAAUCGACUAGUCAGCUUCAAUUUCUAAUAGGAGGGAGAGAUCUAAAGUUUGGGUUGAGAGAAUUUGCCCUUAUAAUCGGCCUAAAAUGCCAUGAGAUUUCUGAUCUUAACCAGGAGGAUAUAAAGGGGGUGGGCGGCUAAAAGGAGUAUAUUUUGAAAACCUUAAAACUGUGAUGAGGCAGUACUUGAACUUUAUGUUCAACAUAAGUACUGCUGGCACCGAUGAUGAUAGAAUAAAAAUGCUGUACUUUCUCAAGAGUUUUUUGAUCCCUAGGCAAGAAUGUCUAAGUAUAGAGUGGAUCACAUCAUUAUGGUAGAUGAUGAUGAACUAUUUGAUGGGUACCCAUGUGGUAGAGUUACUUUUGAACUCUUAGUAGAGUUCAUGAAUAGGGUCAUUUGUAGUAAGGGGCAAACAAGGAUUUCGAUGGGGGGGGGGGGGAGGGGAUUUAUUUUCCCCAUUCUUGUUUGGGCUUAUGAGGUAAUCCCAACAUUGAGUACCCUGCCUAACUUCUUUGCAACAAGGAUUUCAAAUGAAGUCCCUAGGAUUAUAAAUUGAACAGCUGACACACAAUCCAAAUGGAAAGAUUUAAAAGAUAAGGUAUUCGAUUCGCCAAUGGUAUGUAAAUCUUGUAAUUUGUAGGAGUUUUGAUAUUCAUAACAGUUUUAAUAUUUAUAAAGUAUUUUAUUCCUUUUUGAAACAACUUGAAGUGUCCCCCAUGCUCGCCACACCAAUUGAAGUGAGAAUGCCAUACUUUGCACCAUUCCUUGAGACAGAAAAAGAUAUACUCAAAGAAGCAGAAGAUGAGCUUUGAAAGACCUAAAAUUUUGACCGCGUAGACCAUGUUUUGCUGAAUAGAGGCAUGCCCUCUACAAGUGGGAUUGAUGACCUGAUGAGAAUGUAGAAAAGAUUGAGAAGAGCUAAAAGAGGAUGGAGACAAGUAUGGAAGGUAUUCUUGAUUUUCUUAAAUCUGUAGAAUUGAAAAUGAAUACUUGGUUUGAAGAACUAAGGAAGAAGAUGAAUGGAAUAAUAGAAGCAAUAAGAAGCCAACAAUCUAGUUCUUUGGUUGCCCAAUACACCAAUGAAUUUAUGGGAGCAAAGGCGUUUGAAGAGCACCAUGACAAGGUGGAGGAGGACCAAGUAGAAGAUGACGUUGAAGAUUUGAACUUGGAUUCAAGCAAUCCAACGAUGCUUGGAAAAAGGGAUGACGAUAAAGACAAAGAUGAAAAAGGGCUCAUGGAUGAAAGUUGAACACAAACUUCCAGAGGGCAAGAUGGUGGGCAACCUAAAAUGACAAAAUCAGGCACACUAUCAACAACUAGAGAUGGAGAUCGUUCGCUGUAUAAGGCCACAAAGGAAACCGAGGAGGAGAUAAACAGGCUAAUACGAUCAAUCGAUGAAAAUGUUAUAUAUGACAAAAUCAAGAAAAAAGAAGACAGAAGAAAAAUGGUAUAGUUGUGGAUGUGUGUAUGUUUCUUAAUUAAAUGACUAUUAGUUUAAGGACAUAUGUAUAUCAAAUACAUUGAAUUUGUACCUCUAACUGUGUGGAGUAGGUUGACCAUAUUAGGAAGUGUGUGACAAUCGAUGAUAUGUAUAUUUCUUUGGGUUAUUUACAAGUUGGCACUGUUUGCUGUAAUGAAUGAUGGUCAUUACAGAGUAUUUGAAACUAUGGCUGCGAGAGAUGUGUAUUUGAAACUAUGCCUGCGAGAGAUGUGUUACUGUGAUUCAUUUAUAUGUAUUUGAAUGGU